RNAcentral lists this long non-coding RNA (274 nucleotides) under Heterocephalus glaber (naked mole-rat). RNAcentral describes it as "lncRNA (ENSHGLG00100045409.1)". Lineage: Eukaryota; Metazoa; Chordata; Mammalia; Rodentia; Bathyergidae. The record is from RNAcentral.
GUGAGGCUGCUCUAGGACUGGGCUCCGAUCUUUACCUACACUUUCUGAACAUUUUGCAAGAAAUGAAAUUUAAACAAAGGAGCUUGCCUUCCGGACAACAAAGGCCUACCUGCAACCAGGUGCAUCCCUGGUUUCUGUCAUGUACAUCUACACCAAAAACUAUAAAGACACCUGAGUGUGAACUUCCAUGGCAUUCACCAUAACGGAAACCUUCUCUGACUAGCAAAUAGCUUUUCCUUUUUUACUUUCUAAUAAACAUACAUUUGACUACUCC